This 206-nucleotide ribosomal RNA is filed under the name uncultured bacterium. Its description in RNAcentral is "partial 16S ribosomal RNA". It matches the Rfam family "Bacterial small subunit ribosomal RNA", at positions 568 to 774 of the family's 1533-position model. The record is from RNAcentral.
AGCGCAGGCGGUGCGGCAAGUCUGAUGUGAAAGCCCGGGGCUCAACCUGUGGACUGCAUUGGAAACUGUCAUGCUUGAGUGCCGGAGGGGUAAGCGGAAUUCCUAGUGUAGCGGUGAAAUGCGUAGAUAUUAGGAGGAACACCAGUAGCGAAGGCGGCUUACUGGACGGUAACUGACGUUGAGGCUCGAAAGCGUGGGAGCAAACA